RNAcentral lists this ribosomal RNA (363 nucleotides) under Triticum aestivum (bread wheat). RNAcentral's name for it is "partial small subunit ribosomal RNA". Lineage: Eukaryota; Viridiplantae; Streptophyta; Magnoliopsida; Poales; Poaceae. The record is from RNAcentral.
GAUGCAUCAAUAAAGGAGCAAAUGGCUAUGGUUUUAAGGUAUGUCGAUAAACAUGGGUAUGCGAUUGAGAGGUUCAUUGGGAUUAAGCAUGUUGGUGACACAAGAGCGGCUUCUCUAAAAGCAGCUUUGGAUGGUAUGUUUCUUAAACAUGGCUUGUCUAUGUCUAAAUUGAGAGGGCAAGGGUACAAUGGAGCUUCUAACAUGAGAGGACAAUUUCGUGGGUUGCAAAGGUUGAUACUAGAUGAAAAUCCUUAUGCAUUAUAUAUUCAUUGCUUUGCCCAUCAGUUGCAGUUAGUGGUUGUUGCUGUUGCCAAGUGUUGUUCCUCUGUAUUGGAUUUCUUUAACCACGUAACUUUGAUUGUC